This 553-nucleotide ribosomal RNA is filed under the name uncultured bacterium. RNAcentral describes it as "bacterial LSU rRNA". It matches the Rfam family "Bacterial large subunit ribosomal RNA", at positions 1923 to 2473 of the family's 2925-position model. The record is from RNAcentral.
GUAAACGGCGGCCGUAACGAUAACGGUCUAAGGUAGCGAAAUUCCUUGUCGGGUAAGUUCCGACCUGCACGAAUGGCAUAAUGAUGGCGCGCUGUCUCCACCAGAGACUCAGUGAAAAUCGAAAUCGCGGUGAAGAUGCCGUGUACCCGCGGCUAGACGGAAAGACCCCGUGAACCUUUACUGCAGCUUUGCACUGAACUUUGACCUUACUUGUGUAGGAUAGGUGGGAGGCUAUGAAACUCGGACGCCAGUUCGAGUGGAGCCAUCCUUGAAAUACCACCCUGGUAAAUGUUUGAGGUUCUAACCCAGUCCCGUUAUCCGGGACGGGGACAGUGUAUGGUGGGUAGUUUGACUGGGGCGGUCUCCUCCUAAAGAGUAACGGAGGAGUACGAAGGUGCGCUCAGCGUGGUCGGAAAUCACGCACUGAGUAUAAAGGCAAAAGCGCGCUUAACUGCGAGACCCACAAGUCGAGCAGGUACGAAAGUAGGUCUUAGUGAUCCGGUGGUUCUGUAUGGAAGGGCCAUCGCUCAACGGAUAAAAAGGUACUCUGGGU